This 8134-nucleotide long non-coding RNA is filed under the name Equus caballus (horse). Its description in RNAcentral is "lncRNA (ENSECAG00000054922.1)". The record is from RNAcentral. Lineage: Eukaryota; Metazoa; Chordata; Mammalia; Perissodactyla; Equidae.
AAGCAAGUGACUUAAUAAAUUCACAGCCACACAAAGGCUGUGCUCCUUCUUCGUCGCAGCGUGAAACUGGGUGCGGAGAAGGUUUGAAGCACUAGCUUCCAAAGCGCGUCCAGGGGAGCGCAGGGGCCGACACGAGCAGGGGCCGACACCGGCAGGGGCCCGACACCGGCAGGGGGACGACACCGGCAGGGGGACGACAACGGCAGGGCUCCGACACUGGCAGGGGCCCGCUUCGUGGAGGCGUUGUCACGUAUUUCUCACAUCCCUGGAACAGUCGUCGUCAAGAGCAAAUGAGGUAAUAAAGGCGGAAGCGCAUUCUCAACUCCACUGCAACGCUGUGUGGGAGGCCAGUCAACCCAACUCAUGUGAACACGCACACACAAACACACACACACGCCAGACGGAGAGAGAUGAAGUAAGUCUGGAGAACAUGUCCAGAGAGGGAGAGAGAUCCUGGCACCCGCUCACCUAGUCAGAGAGAGCAGGAGACAGAGAGAUAGAGACCCAGGGAGAUAGAUACACACAGAGAGAAGGGAAGACACAGACAAAGAUACACACAAAGAUAAAGAGAGAAAGAGAAAGACAUUUAGACUCAUGGCUAGACAGAGAGACACACAGAGAAAAAGAGAGAGAGAGAGAGAAAUGAGGAGAAAGAGGGAAACAGACAGUGAGAAACACUGAGAAAGAAGAUAUUUGGGGCAAGGAAGAGAGGCAGGGAGAAUUGGGGAAAUCAAGAGGCACUGAAAAAUAGGGCAGAAGAGUGAGUGAGUGAGCAGAGGAGGGGGUGAGCCAGGUCAGGGGCUGGUCACAGAGGGACAGAGUAGGGGAUUCAGGACAGGGCCAGAAGUAGGAAAGGGGUCGGGACUGAGAGCCUGGCUGGCCCAAGCUUCUGAAUGGGCUUCUGCAGCCUCUGGUCCUGGCCCUUCUCCUGGUCAGCAUGCUCAGAGCAUGAGACCAGGUGUCCUGAGGCUACCUAAAGGUGGGGAAGUCUUGCCGUGCCCCUGAGACUGCCAUAGCCAGUGGACACACCAAAGUUGUGCCCCCAGAGAGGCCCAGUGAGGAGAACUGAGCUUCCAAGUGAAGUGACAGGCUGACCAGCACUGGUGGACAUUGCUCAGAGUGGGUCUGACGGCAGGAGUCUGGGCAUUGGCCUGUUCCUGCAUCGUAUCUGACGAGUGGCCUGAUACAACGUUCUCCUUUCUAGGCCUCAAUAUCCCCUCUGCACAAUGGGUGCUAUCUCAGGACUCUGACACUGAGUUCAGAGACCCAGGCAGCCUGGCAUCGUGCCCUGUCCCCUUGAAUGAAGGCAGGAACACCCUUUUCCCACUUUGCAAUGAUUAUUUUAAAACUGAGUUUGCUUGUCUUUCCAGUUCCUGAUUUCUGUGCUCGUGGUCUUUGUCCACCAGCCCCUCCAACCUCUUGAUGUGGUAUCUCCACUCCACGUUUGGCCCGGGAAAGGCUGGGACCGUUGGUGGCCUCCAAGGAGCAGCAUCACAUUACACGCAGCUGGACCAGGCCCCAGGACAGCUAAAUGGCUGUCAUCUGGGCCCUGAGGCACCGGAGGGAGGAGUUCAGGGCACAAGGAGACCCAUGUAAAGCGUUUUCUGUUAAAGGAGGCCCUUGCUUAGCGAAGAAUCCACAUCAAGGAUCCAGAAUUGGCUGGUGCUCUGGGCAAAGGGUUUGGUCUGUGCAAAUCAUUUCCUCCUGCUAGACUUCCAGUCCCUCAUCUGAACCACGGCUGCCACGGACUCUACGCUCUUCUGCUUCUAACCCUCCAUGAUGCUGACCUCAGCUUCGGAACCUGGAAACAUGGCCAAGGGAAUGGAGGGAACAUGGGGUUGGACUGGAUGCAUGUGUCAGGUUUUGAAUUAAGGACUGUUGAGGUGGAACGGAGAGAAUGAGCAAAAGUAGAGGGGUUUAAAAGUGCAUGAGGUUUAUUCAUUCAUUCAACAAAUGUGGUUUGAGCUGCUGCUUUGUGGGCCCUUUUCUUAGUUGCUCUGGAUACAGGGGUGUAUAAUCCACGAAGAUAAGGAUGGUGCCUGUGGUGAGGGUUGCAGAGAGAAAAGCAGUGGGAGAGAGGGAGCCAAGAGGCAGAAGGGCAGGGAGGCUCCCCUCUCCCUGGGAGGAGAGACGUCCAGACCUGCCAUCCACCUGAGGGAAGAGACUGUUUUCAGGUGUAGAGGUUUCAAGAUGGUGGCCCAUGGAUGAAAUUCCAGCAUAGGUCUGUUUUGUUUGUCCCCAUAAAGUGUGUUAAAAUUAUAAUAAGCUUUUAGCUAUAAAAAUAGAAAGCUUUUAUAUAGAAACCUAGAAUUCUGCUCUUACAGACCCACUAGCCCAGGCAGUACUUCCAUGUAACAACGAUUGGCUGAGGCUGGGUUGAGGUUGCCCCUUGAGGGAGUGAGCUCCUCAGCUCCUCAGUCUCCACCAUUCCCUAUUGUGGCCCCAGCCUGCAAGCCCCACUUAUUUAUUUUACCUUCCCGACUUUACUGACAUCUGCGUUUGUGACUGCUGGUCUGGUUUGUGCUAUAAAAGGCUGACCAGCCUGGUGGUUGGAUCCGUUCUGGGCCAGGUGGACGGAGGCCCGCCACAGGAACCCACACCCUGGGAGCCACUUUGUGCUUCUGACCACCGCAAACACUGUCUGCGGUGAGGUUGACAAGUUGGGAAUCAGCCCUCCAGGCCCAAAGGCUUCUCCUUGGCAGAAGCAGAAGCCAAUUCAAAUUGUUUUUCUUUUUUUCUUUGCUCAUCUGAAAAGUCCUCCAAGAUCCUCCUUCUUAUUAACAACCUGCACACCAUGCUGUGCUUAAAGUUCAGAGCGCCAUAGGCUAUGGAGCCAUAAUUAAUCUCAGUCCCUGAGUUCUAGAACACUUAGAGCAGUUAUAAUUUGCUGUUGGAAAACCAAUUUGGGGAAGCAGUGGUGUUCUCACCCUUGAUCAUGGCUCCACUGAAUGCCACUUCCUGUCCACGUGCUGCCUGCUGGGAGAGCAAGACCUUUCCUCUCUGCACCUCUGGGAGGUGACACAGAGUGUAGAAGGUGGGAGGACAGAAGAGGGAGUUGGUGAGCUACCCGUGGGGACAUGGGCUUCCAGGACCACUGCCGGCACUGCCUCUGAGCUGGUUUGGUCACCCUGCAUCAGGUGCCUCUUAUUUUCCAAUUUAGUCCAAUUUUACAACCCCCGUCCACAUACCUUCCAUGUCUUAGGCACUGUCUGGUUGGGGCAGAUGCCAAGUCGUGUUCUCUCUCUUCUGCCCUCACCACUUUCCUGGCCUGUCCCUGCUGCCCUGGGCCACACUCAAGAUUUCUGCUCCACGCAUGGAAGUUCUCUUUUUUCUCCUCAUUUCUUUUUUUUGCUCAAGGCCAGAUUGUCAUAUCAUUGAAAUCACUCACAGUUGAAAUCAGUCACAGCAGACAAGGGUAAAACGUCACGGCUCCAGUGAAAUGCACACACUGACAUAGGGUAGGGUCACACACUGCCGGCUACCACUGUGUGUGUUUAUAGGUUUGUCUGUCCUGCUGCCUGUGCCAUCUGCAGCCAGGAGCCGUGUCCCAUUUGUCCACUGGCCCCAGAACCUGGCGAGAGGCACCACACAGAGCAGGCAGGUAGUAAGUGUCCACAGGGGUGGUUAGCUUAACAGCAAUAUAGACACACUAGAGAGUGUGAAAAUAGAAAUACUUAUAGGGAAAUAAGCCAAUAAUGGCCUGCCUUCAUUCAUUAAUUAUUUAUUAUUCACUCAUUCAACCAGUCCUCACAGGCACUGGGACCUGUGCUCAGUCUUGGGGAUAUUGAAAUGAAAAUAUCUUUGUUUCUGACUCCAGCUUAAAGGUAUCCUAAGUGAGAGGCUCAUUUAGGGCAUUCUGGGGGUGCAUAGGAGGGACCCCUGACUGGUGUAGGAAAGCAUUCUGGAGGAGGUGAUAUUUGAGCAAGCCCUGGAUUAUUCUGUGCUUAUCUCCAGCACCUCACUUAAAAGUUGCUCUAGGUUUGUCCACUUAUGUGUUUGUGUCUCCAGAGAGGCUGAGGGCCCCUUUAGAGAAGGGACCCUGUCCUAGUUACCCUUGAAUUCUCAUCACCUAGAACAGUGCCUGGGCCAUGGGAUAAGGUUUGGUGCAUACUCGUGGGAUGAAUGAAUGAAAGAGCAUUUUCCAGGUAAGGAGGGUGGAACAGGGAUUCCAGGCAGAAGGACAGCCCAGAUGGGUGGAAGGAUAGUGCUGGGAGGUUACUACCAAGCUAGGAGCCCAGAGAGCAGGGUUGAGAGGGAAGGCAGAGGGCACUGGGAGAGUAGAGGGGCAUAGACACAAAGAACAGCUUCCUGCGCUUAGACUUGGGCCACAAACUGAUGCCUCCAGGAGCAGGGCAGACAAUAGAAAUGCAUGAAGGAGGCAGGAGUAAGACCCUGAAGACUGGCGGGGUUCACGGAGAACUGAAUAGUGUGCCUCACCAACAGCAUUGGAAUGCAACAUUAAAGAAAAUGCUGUUAGCCAAACGAAACAUUCAGGCCCUUGGGUCACAAGUUUGCAACUUCCUACCCCCACUGCCAGGUACUAUACAGAAGGUUGUGUGGAAUUGUGGGAAAAGUCCUGCCUUGGAUUUCUGGAGAAGUGGGAGCAAAUCCCAGCUUGGCCCCUUGCUGGCUGUGAGGCUUUGUCCAAGCCUCUUCCCCUCUCUGCCCCUCGCUUUGCUCAUCUGCUAGCUUACCCACCCUGCCCACCUGUCAGGCCGAAUGAGAUGAUGGACACGCAGUGCUCUGUAGUUACUAAAGCCCCGGCACGUGCAGAGGCUUUCGUUCUAAGCAUGAUGCGAGGGGAUGUCUAGGUUCCUUGUGGAAAGAGGGGGACUGUAGUGGGAGCCUUACAGGUGGUCUGAAACCUCUCAUGGAAGGUGGGUUCUGUGAGAGCAGGACAUGCCCCUGCUUAGAGUGGAGAAGGGAAGUUCAUGCAGCUGGAGGGACCAGGGUGCAGAUAGUGGCUGGGGUGGCCAGAGAGGAGAUUCUGGAAGAGUCAGAGUUGCUAAGAGAGGAUGGAAGUAGGGAGGUGGACACUCAGUCGGGGAGGUGGCCUGAAGCUUCCCGGCUUGAUUACCUGGGACCUGGCCAGAGUAAGAAGAGUAUCUAAAACAAGGCCCGGCAGAGGGUGGCUGGGGUGAGGAUGUCCAUGGGCCUGGGACAAAGGGUUGGGUUGGAAUUCUCAGCAACACCUCAGCACGGCACACAGCCAGACACAGAGAUUCUGUCACCCACUGGGAUCUGGACCCAGGGCCCCUUCCCCAUCUGGGUGACUGUCUGGUCCUCUCUGGGGCCUUGGGGAACACUCAGUGUGGCCCAAGACUGUCUGUGGACACUGUUAAGUGAGCAUCAUUAGGAGGAGGUUUCCCUGCCUCAAGGAGAGCCAAGGAUCCUGGGAGGCAUCUGUGCUGAGAGGGCCCUGCAGCCGUUUCCAGGCCUCUCAUUUUGCCGGUCCAGAGGGAGUAAGGGACUUGCCCAGGGUCUUCCGUCUCCUUGUCUUUGGAAUCUUGCAGGCCUUGGUUGUGCUGGAAUUCUCCCUUUAAUUCUGAAGCGUCAGGAAUAGAAGAUUCAGAGCAUCUCAGGGCUGAAGGGACCUUAAAGUUGAUGAAGUCCACCUGUGGUUCCCCCCCACUCCCACCUGCAGAUCUGCUUCCCCUCGUCUCUGUGGCGUAGGACUCCCUGCUGCCAGGCCCCACCAAGCCUGAGGUGUCCUCACUAGCUACAGAGAUUUGGGAGGGCAGAGCAAGCCCCAGGUCCCAGGGUCAUCACAGCGCGCUCACUGGAGACUCAGCCUCGUGCCCUGCCCACUACUGCACCCCAGCACCUGUGGUGGUGCCAGCACAUGGUGGGUGCUCCACAAAUCCUGCUGAACAAAUGAAGAACUUGUUUCGAGCCCCAGGGAGAGCCAGGACACGGACUGGCAGGCUCUGUGUCCAGGGGCCCACGAGCAGUUAGACAUACUCCAUGGGCACCUACUGCAGGCAGCAGUAGGCUGGAGGCCAGGGCCACCCUGGUCACCAGGGUAGAUCUGGUCCUGCACCCAGGGAGUGCACUGUGCAAUGGAGGAGGCAGACAGAGAAGGGGAGCAGAGCCCUGUGCUCACCUGUGGCUGGAGAACCUCUAGCUGCCCUGCUCCCUGGAGCUCCCUGGGGGCUUUCUGAGCCUCCACCCUAGGGACGCCGCUCCCUCUUCAUCUUGCCUUGUCUUCCUGCAGCUCCCCCCUCACUCUCCAAGCCCUGGCUCAAACAGCACCUCUUCUGGGAAGGCCUCCUUCACCCCCUUUCCAAUCAGGCUCACUCUUGGACCAGCUCUAUUCUUUCUCAUCAGCUGUACUUAGGGGCUCUGUGCUUAUGGAGCAUCUACUGGAUCCAAAGCCAUUUGCUUGGAUGCGUGGUUGUUGAGUGAAUUCCUGAUCUGUUAGCACUUGGGAAAACAUUCCCCUCUCUUUCGUGGAAAGUGUAAAUGGGGCAUUAAAGGACUUGGCCCUGCUCAGUGUUCCCUGUCCCCACCCUCUGGUGGCACAGGGCUCUGGCACACAGCUGGAGGCACCACUUUGCUAACAUUAAAGUACUUUUGAAUGUGUGCCAGACACUGCUUGGCCCUGUGCAUUAUCUUGUUUUAUUGUCCCCACAGCCCUCUGAUCUGAGGUACCAUUAUCAUCCUCAUUAUACAGUAGUCCCCCUUACCCGCAGGAAACUCACUCCAAGACCUCCAGAGGAUGCCUGAAGCCACAGACAGUACUGAAUUCUAGCCAGUUAAGUGCCACAUGAUGGUGUUUCAACAGCAUACCUCAUACAUGACUGUGCUCCCAUAAGAUUAGCCCCACACGGCCACACGGUGCAGUGGGCUGUACCAGCCAGGUUUGCGUGACUGCGCUCUAUGAUGGUUGCACAACAAGGAAACCACCUAAUGAUGCAUUGCUCAGAGGAUGUCCGCGUUGUUAAUUGAUGCAUGACUGUAUAUACUGUUUUUUCCUAUACAUAGUGAUGAUAAAGUUUAAUUUAUAAAUUAGGCACAGUAAGAGAUUAACAACAACUAAUAAUAAAGUAAAACGAUGAUAACAAUAUACUGUAAUAAAAGUUAUGGGAAUGUGAUCUUUCUCUCUCUCAAAUGUCCUAUUGUUCUGUACUCGCCCUUCUUCUUCUGGGGGUCUUUGGACUUGCCCGGGCCCUGGUGUAGCUCCCUAGGGAGCUUUCUGGGCUGCUCCAUCCCUUGUAGCUUCUUUGGUCCUCAAGGAUGUCAUCACAGGUGGGCCCUCUGAUUUAUACUGCUCUUCCCUUGUACCCUGCAUGUGGGUCAGUCUUGGUCCUCUGGCCUCCACACUCGCUGAGGUCAGGGGCUGAGCCUAGGCACACAGCUGGCACUUACUAAAGACAUGUGUCUUUAUCAUGUCCUCAUCCCCACACACAGCCACCUGCAUUUUCCCCUUUAGGGCUGAUGGUUUACUCAUUGUCCAUUCUAACCAGUGUCCCUCCUAAAUAGCCGCCAAAGAGCUGGCGUGGUCAGUGGGGAAGGCGGGAGGCCGAGGGCUUAAGUCUCAGCAAUGCCACUGCCUGGCCAUGGGACUUUGCCUCUGGGGUCCGCAGAUGCCCCAUCUCUGAACAGGGGUCAUCAGCCACGCUCUUCAGGAUAUGGUGGGAGCUUGAGGAAAUGCAGAUGUGACUCUGCGUCUCAGUUUUGCUGAGCUGCCCAAGGCUGGGAACCAGGCAAACGAUGCUGAGUACCCCCGAUCCCAGAGGAGACAUGUGAACAGCCAGUGGAGCUUCAGGAGACACAGAAAGAGAUAUAAAAGGAGAUUUAUUAUGGGAAUAGGCUCACGUGAUUAUGGAGGCUGAGAUACGCCACAGUAUAUUGGCCGGACACUGGAGACCCAGGAAACCUGGUGGUACAAUUUAGUUAGAGUCUGAAGGCCUGAGAACCAUGGUGCAGCUCCCAGACUGAGGUCGAAGGCCUCAGAUUUGUGGAACGGGUACUGGUGUAAGCCCUGGAAUCUGAAGGCCCAAGAACCAGGAGCUCUGAUGUCCAAGGGCAGGAGAAGAUGGGCAUCCCAGCUCAAGAAGAGAGCUUCAUCUGCGUUUUUGUUAUAUUCCAGCCCUCAAGGAAUUGGAUGCUGCCUGCCCACACCGGUGAUGGC